UGGGGAAUAUUGCACAAUGGGCGCAAGCCUGAUGCAGCCAUGCCGCGUGUGUGAAGAAGGCCUUCGGGUUGUAAAGCACUUUCAGCGAGGAGGAAGGGUUCAGUGUUAAUAGCACUGUUCAUUGACGUUACUCGCAGAAGAAGCACCGGCUAACUCCGUGCCAGCAGCCGCGGUAAUACGGAGGGUGCAAGCGUUAAUCGGAAUUACUGGGCGUAAAGCGCACGCAGGCGGUUUGUUAAGUCAGAUGUGAAAUCCCCGCGCUUAACGUGGGAACUACAUUUGAAACUGGCAAGCUAGAGUCUUGUAGAGGGGGGUAGAAUUCCGAGGUGUAGCGGUGAAAUGCGUAGAGAUCUGGAGGAAUACCGGUGGCGAAGGCGGCCCCCCUGGACAAAGACUGACGCUCAGGUGCGAAAGCGUGGGGAG
This 423-nucleotide ribosomal RNA is filed under the name uncultured bacterium. Its description in RNAcentral is "partial 16S ribosomal RNA". It matches the Rfam family "Bacterial small subunit ribosomal RNA", at positions 355 to 768 of the family's 1533-position model. The record is from RNAcentral.